This 308-nucleotide long non-coding RNA is filed under the name Vulpes vulpes (red fox). Its description in RNAcentral is "lncRNA (ENSVVUG00000022575.1)". The record is from RNAcentral. Lineage: Eukaryota; Metazoa; Chordata; Mammalia; Carnivora; Canidae.
GGAAAAUACAGCAAUACGUUGUGAAUCAAAUCUCAUCAAUGCAAAGAACAGGGAAAUGCUUCUUUUAUGAUAACUUAAGUAGGCCAGAAAACUGGAAAGGCACUGAAGAAAUGGAAUCUUCCUCGUGACUGCACAAGGAAGCCAAGCCUCCGAACUGCGAGCUGCGGGAUUAGCCCACCCUGCAACACUGUGCGCAGGGAUUCAUUUCUACCACUUUCAGAAAAUAAACUGUCUUCUUGUAAAGAGAGGGUUUUAUCACUGUAUUUUCCCUCUUCUAUGGGAUUUACAAAUAAUGUCUUUAGUUUUUU